Molecule: long non-coding RNA, 205 nt
Filed under: Lathyrus oleraceus (garden pea)
Lineage: Eukaryota; Viridiplantae; Streptophyta; Magnoliopsida; Fabales; Fabaceae
Description: Pisum sativum (pea) long non-coding RNA (PSAT_LNC022013)
Source: RNAcentral
AAAACGAAAAAAAAACAAAAAACGAAAAAAAACGAAGAAAAAAAAAAUAAAAAUAAAAAAAAUAAAAAUAAAUAAAUAAAAUAAUAAUAAAUAAAUAAAAGAAAAAAUCUCAGACUUGGACCUCUCUCAUUUGAGCCCACAAAGCCAUGAAAAUCAGGUUAUAAAAGAGGGAGAACAGAUAGAAAAAGGAAGGGAAGCAAAACAC